Molecule: ribosomal RNA, 494 nt
Filed under: uncultured bacterium
Lineage: Bacteria
Description: bacterial SSU rRNA
Rfam family: Bacterial small subunit ribosomal RNA
Source: RNAcentral
CUCAGGAUGAACGCUGGCGGUCGUGCUUAACACAUGCAAGUCGAACGGAGUUUUAACGGAAGUUUCGGACGGAAGUUAAAACUUAGUGGCGGACGGGUGAGUAACGCGUGGGUAACCUGCCUCAUACAGGGGGGAUAACAGUUAGAAAUGACUGCUAACACCGCAUAAUAGUAGCGAAACCGCAUGAUUUUUGCUAUCAAAUAGUUUAUAGGUAUGAGAUGGGCCCGCGUCUGAUUAGCUAGUUGGUGGGGUAAAGCCUACCAAGGCGACGAUCAGUAGCCGGCUUGAGAGAGUGACCGGCCACAUUGGGACUGAGACACGGCCCAAACUCCUACGGGAGGCAGCAGUGGGGAAUAUUGGACAAUGGGGGAAACCCUGAUCCAGCGACGCCCGCGUGAGUGAGGAAGUAUUUCGGUAUGUAAAGCUCUAUCAGCAGGGAAGAUAAUGACAGUACCUGACUAAGAAGCCCCGGCUAACUACGUGCCAGCAGCUGC